This 3284-nucleotide long non-coding RNA is filed under the name Nicotiana benthamiana. Its description in RNAcentral is "long non-coding RNA (NBEN_LNC006317)". The record is from RNAcentral. Lineage: Eukaryota; Viridiplantae; Streptophyta; Magnoliopsida; Solanales; Solanaceae.
AAACAACCCCUUAAGUCUCAUGUAACGGCGUCACUAGCCGCCACCAGAAGUCGCCCCACGACGGCGGCGUAUCUCCAAGCACUCCCAAAUUAACACCAUCGCUUCGCCUCUACUCCCUCAUCCCAACACCACACUCGGUUCCUCUCUAAUCACACUAGAAUGGUUCAAAUUUUCAAAACCCUAGCACCGCCACAGUUCCUCCGGUGGCGGCGUUGCCUCCAAACAACCCCAAAACCACACCCUGUCACCUCCUUCUCUCCCUUAUUCCAAUUCCUCGCUUAUUUUCCCUCAAACACCCCUAGAAAAUUUCAAAUAUCAAAUCACAGAUUGAGUCCAAAAACUCUAGAGUCAUCUUCUGAGGAACUUGAAAUCAUGCAUGGUUAUAAGAGGACGUUUCCUCGAGUUUGAAGGUCGGAGCAGUAGAUAUGAUGUCGUUCAGUCCGUUCUUCACAAAGAACAAUUGAGUAACCAUAGUUUAUUGGGUCGUUUGACCUCGUUCUGAUUCAAGGCGAGCUGGUACGUAUUUCUCUUCCCCAUAGAUGUUUUAUCUAUGUCGAUUGGAUUAUUCUCCUUCUCCUUCCUUUUCUUUAACUUAGAUCUUAUAAUAAUCUGUUUGGAAAGGUGAUUUAGCCUCCGAGGUCAAAUUUAGUUUUCUGUCCAUCAUUUGUGCCAUUCUUUCUUUCUUCUUUUUAUGAGACUAGUUCCGUGAUUUCUUUAAUUUUGUCAAAAAUUAUGGUUAAGUGCCAGGUUCAACAUUUCUACCUAGUUAAUUUAAUUAGAUUCAAAUUUGGUUAAUUUCUUGCCAUGGGAACUGAUUUUUGCACCUUUGUUGUCAUUGUUGUAUAUUUCUAAAUUGUCGAUUUAUUUUUUUUAUUUUAAAAAAGGGAAAGUCUUGACGACUCUUGUUGGGGAAAUAUGUGUUCUUGAUCAUGUUACCCGCGACUAUUUGAGUUUUAAAUUGAGUCCCAUUUUUCAGGAGGGUCCCGACAACUCUUAAUCGAAUAUGCAAGUCAUUUAUGUUUCUUGCUAUUCAUGGUUAUCUCCAUCCUUUGGGCAAGUCCCAUUUUCCAGGAGGGUCCUGAGGGUUCAAGAUUAAAUGCCAAUUCUAACUUUCAGUUGUUUCUGCUGGGGAUAGCUAGUUAAAGUUUGUCCAAUUAUUCAGGAGCGUCCUGACGACUCUUAGUAGGGAAGGUGUUUAUGCCCGUCCAUGUCACCAAUGCCCGUUUGAGUUUUAAACUGAUUACCAUUUCCGGGAGGGUCUUGAGAAUUUCAAACUGUGUACCCCUUUUAUAUCUCGGUUGUCUUUGCUGGGGAUUGCUAAUUAAAGUUUCGUCCCAUUAUUCAGGCUACGACUCUUGUUGGGGAGAAUAUUAAUGUCGGAUUAUGUUCCUUUUUGAGUUUUAAUUAGGUCCUAUUUUCCAGGUAGGUCCUGAGAUUUUUUAUCAUAACUACCAUGUGCCUUACUUCCCAUGUGGAUGGCCUUCCAUAGGACCUUCCGGAAUUUUCUACCCCUGUGUCAAUCAAUGAAAAUUUGUUAGUUUGAAAAUUGGUGGUUAGCUUGCGGCAUUCUUGUUGAAAGUGGCCUCCCCACUUCUCGUGUUCCGUUGUCUUUAAUAUUUUGCACUGAUGUUGCGUUGCCUGAGUUGCUUAGCUGACCCCCAAACCCUUAUGGUCUUACUUUGUUCCCCCGUUAUUGUGUUACACUCCUGGCCCUUUUGCAAAAAUUCUUACAUCUUUCCUGAGAUUACCAAGUCAAUGUACUAUGCUUGGAUGACCCCCAUGACGCUUGUGGCUUUACACUGCUACCCCGUCUUUAUGUUGCACUUCUGACCCUUUUGCCAGAACUCUUGCCUCUCGAGUCAGUUUUACCAAUGAAGCUUUCGUGGAUCCUUCCCCUUGCUGUUUCAACCUUUGCUGCCUUUGUUACGUUUUUGGCCGACAUGUGCUUUGUCCCUUUGGGAACUUGGUAGUUGCACAUCAAAACUACGUCAUUUCAAACUCCUUUACCUCAUUAAACGACUAAAUCCAACCCCAUGUCCUCAUAAUUCAUUCAAUUAAGUUUAAAACCUAGUUCUUGUCUCUCUCAAAACAACCACCACCUGCUCCAUCAUUCCUCCGCUGCCUGGAAAUCAUUUCACGACGGCAGACCACCCCCAAAUCCCCUCAACCUUCAAACACACAACCAUUAUCCUCCCACCCCAUCCAUUCAUAUCCCUCCAUUAUUUUCUCCAAAAGACCACUCAUUUUCUCCGAAUUUGAGAUCUAAGAAUAAAAAUCCAAACUUUUUGCCUUCUGUUCGAUUUUUCUUAACCUGGUCCUCAAUUCAUUAUGAAACCCACGUGACUUCCCUAUUUUUCAAUGUUAGGAGUCGUUUAAUGUAAAGGUUGCCCUAUGUCACAGAUUGGCCAGAUUCCGGGCAAAUAACCUUCGAAUGUCCAAAACCCUUUGAGCCUCUACCUCAUCUCUUCUUUGGCAUGUGGUAAGGAUUUUUGCAUGAAGCACCAGCUAUGGACGAGAGUACGGCUAGUGUUCAUGUUCCAAUUCUCACCAUUUGGCCGAUAUUCUUGCCCCCCGAAGUUUCAUUUAAUUCGUCCCUAUUUCUUAAGGAUACUAGGGCCUUGUUUGAUUCAAUUGGUAUACCAUCUUCUCCCCUUCUGUAAGUUUAAUUAAGUCAUAUGUCAUAAGCUCGAACCAAACAUGCCUUAGCACAAAUUGGAGUUUUUGAUGUUUUUUGUUAAUUAAUUAGUUGAUUAGCUUUUAAUUUGCAUUUCUUUUCAAUGCUUUCAAAUUCUAGAAAAAAUUUAGUCCUCAUGUUUGGAUGUCAUUUUUCUCUGAUUUUUGUUUGUUCGAUUGGUUUGCGUGUGCACAAUGGGUAGACCCAUUAGAUUAGAAAUUGGGAUUUUUACAUAUAUAUACCAUAUAGCAAAUCUUAUUACCAAAAUUGUGUAUGGUUUGGUAUUUACCUUCUCAAUCGCUCUUUUUAGUGGGGAGGAAUAGUGCGGGAAGGGAGCGAGACCAAGCCGAGCCACUAGUAGAGUAAGCCCUUCCCACGUGUCAAGUUGAAUAUGAAUAAAUGAAUGCAGCCUCAACCAGAGAGAUCAACCUGCGCCUUUGGGUUGAGGCCGCUGGCGGCGCAGAACGAACUAAUCCGCGACCAGCAAGUUUUCCGUUAAGCCCAGAGCUUCCUCGCUUGAAUAAGCAUGCGCCGCUCAUAUUGAGGUCCUAUACCAUGUUUUGUUUACAAAAAUUGUACCAAACCAAAAAUAGAUAGAUUCUACCCUANN